AUUGAACGCUGGCGGCAUGCCUUACACAUGCAAGUCGAACGGCAGCACGGGAGCUUGCUCCUGGUGGCGAGUGACGAACGGGUGAGUAAUACAUCGGAACGUACCCAGUAGUGGGGGAUAGCGCACCGAAAGGUGCGCUAAUACCGCAUACGACCUACGGGUGAAAGCGGGGGACCGUAAGGCCUCGCGCUAUUGGAGCGGCCGAUGUCUGAUUAGCUAGUUGGCGGGGUAAAAGCCCACCAAGGCGACGAUCAGCAGCUGGUCUGAGAGGACGAUCAGCCACACUGGGACUGAGACACGGCCCAGACUCCUACGGGAGGCAGCAGUGGGGAAUUUUGGACAAUGGGGGCAACCCUGAUCCAGCAAUGCCGCGUGUGCGAAGAAGGCCUUCGGGUUGUAAAGCACUUUUGUCAGGGAAGAAAUCUUUCAGGCUAAUACCCUUGGAAGGAUGACGGUACCAGAAGAAUAAGCACCGGCUAACUACGUGCCAGCAGCCGCCGUAA
RNAcentral lists this ribosomal RNA (503 nucleotides) under uncultured bacterium. Its description in RNAcentral is "partial 16S ribosomal RNA". It matches the Rfam family "Bacterial small subunit ribosomal RNA", at positions 29 to 523 of the family's 1533-position model. The record is from RNAcentral.